RNAcentral lists this ribosomal RNA (429 nucleotides) under bacterium. RNAcentral's name for it is "partial 16S ribosomal RNA". It matches the Rfam family "Bacterial small subunit ribosomal RNA", at positions 355 to 776 of the family's 1533-position model. The record is from RNAcentral.
UAGGGAAUCUUCGGCAAUGGGGGCAACCCUGACCGAGCAACGCCGCGUGAGUGAAGAAGGUUUUCGGAUCGUAAAGCUCUGUUGUAAGAGAAGAACGUGUGUGAGAGUGGAAAGUUCACACAGUGACGGUAACUUACCAGAAAGGGACGGCUAACUACGUGCCAGCAGCCGCGGUAAUACGUAGGUCCCGAGCGUUGUCCGGAUUUAUUGGGCGUAAAGCGAGCGCAGGCGGUUUAAUAAGUCUGAAGUUAAAGGCAGUGGCUUAACCAUUGUUCGCUUUGGAAACUGUUAAACUUGAGUGCGGAAGGGGAGAGUGGAAUUCCAUGUGUAGCGGUGAAAUGCGUAGAUAUAUGGAGGAACACCGGUGGCGAAAGCGGCUCUCUGGUCUGUAACUGACGCUGAGGCUCGAAAGCGUGGGGAGCAAACAGG